CCUUUUUUUGUUAAUUUACCUUUUAUUAAAAACAUCACAAUCUGCGGUGUUUUCUUUUAUUGAACACCUUAAUUCAUAAUUAAUUUUUCUACAAUAACAAUUAGUGCGUUGACCUAUUUACAUACUUUACAUGAUCAUUUAUUUAAUAUUAUAUAUUUUUACAUUUUAACAACAACACAAUCAUUAUUAUGUAUUAAUACAUGAUUAUUUUUUCCAAAAUCCCAAUUUGUGCUAUUCACAAUAGAUUUUUGAUCUGUAGAUGGAGUCUACAUGUAAUAAUUUUGCGUUGACAUAGUGACCCAAUUAUUUUGAAAAUUAAAAAACUUAAAUAAACUUUUCAAAAGAGAUGGAUAAAUUUGGAAAUCAAAGAUGACCAAUUAAAUUAUGUAUUGACGCAGAGAUGGUUUGCUGAGCUGAAAGUGGAUACCAAAUUUCAUCGCAAGUUAAUUUUGCAUUAUAGUAUAAUGUAUGUAAAUAUGAAUGGAGAUUCAAGGACCGAACAUGCUUUUAUUAUUUUUCAUAUAUGUAUCCCAAAUUUUUAGUUCUGUAAAGGUACAUAUAUUUCAUUGUGUUUUUUUUUUAUCUCUUUUUAGGUGCAGAUGAAGCCGAAACACAAUAUAUUUGGCAGUAUAGUCAACUCCAAGAAUAAACCUUUCUUUAAGGAGAUUUGGGAGAUCUUUGAACGAACCACUCUUUAUAACACGUCCCGGAGGACAGUAAAGUACACCAACAUCGAAAUUAUGUUUAUAAGACUGUUCGUACAGAAACAAAUUGGUUAUCGUCUCUUUUUACUUUACUUAUUUCAUUAUGUUUUAUAUUAUUCCUUAAAUAAAUAUUC
Molecule: long non-coding RNA, 838 nt
Organism: Condylostylus longicornis
Lineage: Eukaryota; Metazoa; Arthropoda; Insecta; Diptera; Dolichopodidae
Exons: 3
Source: RefSeq, a predicted model, not a curated record